This 350-nucleotide small RNA is filed under the name Arabidopsis thaliana (thale cress). Its description in RNAcentral is "ATSL282020". The record is from RNAcentral. Lineage: Eukaryota; Viridiplantae; Streptophyta; Magnoliopsida; Brassicales; Brassicaceae.
AUUGUAUUUAUUUUUGUAAGAUCAUUCCUUCUUGGAAAAUACUAUUGUAUUUUUCAACAAGUGAUGAAGGAAUGAAGCAACGAAUUAAGGAAUUCUGUUUAGAAAGAUGAGAAGAUAGAUAUAUGAUGAGUGUGAUAUGAGAUUUAUGUUAGAAAAAUAAAUUGAUAUGUUAGUCAUUGGACAAUUAUACCUUCUCAUCUAGCAGGAAGAGUGAGUUUUCAAGGAAUACAUCACGGUCGUUGGCAGAACGUAUUUCCGGUAUGAACUUCCCACAUUCUAACAAUACGGCCAAUUCUGUUACCACAACAUUCGAAUUUUUCUAAUACAUGUUGAGAAAAAUAUUAUGAAAA